Molecule: RNase P RNA, 410 nt
Filed under: Pseudomonadota bacterium
Lineage: Bacteria; Pseudomonadati; Pseudomonadota
Description: Proteobacteria bacterium (marine metagenome) RNase P RNA component class A
Rfam family: Bacterial RNase P class A
About the family: Ribonuclease P (RNase P) is a ubiquitous endoribonuclease, found in archaea, bacteria and eukarya as well as chloroplasts and mitochondria. Its best characterised activity is the generation of mature 5'-ends of tRNAs by cleaving the 5'-leader elements of precursor-tRNAs.
Source: RNAcentral
UCAGUUUGAUUGGAGAGCGUUAAGUUGAAAGUCAAGACGCGACACCUAUAGCAGGGGGAGGAAAGUCCGAACUCCACAGGGCAGGGCGCCCCGAGAAUAUCGGGGGACUCCCGGUCGAAAGACCGGGGAUACGGAAAGUGCCACAGAAAAUAUACCGCCCCCCACCACUUUAAAGUGGUGGGGAGUAAGGGUGAAAAGGCGCGGUAAGAGCGCACCGGGCUGAGAGUAAUCGAAGCCGCAUGGUAAACCCCGUCCGGAGCAAGGCCAAAUAUAGAUCGAGGUGCUGCCCGCACCGUUUGAGAUCAGGGUAGGCUGCAUUGAGCCCGAGGGCAACCGGAGGCCCAGAUAGAUGAUCAUCAUCCCCUAAAGGUGCCGCGUCUUGACAUUCAACUUAACGCUUAUCUGAUUAA